GUCCCUCUCUCUACACUUGAUAGAGAACUGUGAUGCUGUAUCCAACCUACUCCAGGCAUUCAUUGACAUGCUUAAGGACUCUAGGGACGAAGAAGAUGUAUUGACACUGACAAGUUGGCUGGACGAGGA
This is a long non-coding RNA of Eurytemora carolleeae, 129 nucleotides long. RefSeq lists it as uncharacterized. Lineage: Eukaryota; Metazoa; Arthropoda; Copepoda; Calanoida; Temoridae. The record is from RefSeq and is a predicted model, not a curated record. The transcript has 2 exons.